AGUGAACGCUGGCGGUAGGCCUAACACAUGCAAGUCGAACGGCAGCACAGUAAGAGCUUGCUCUUACGGGUGGCGAGUGGCGGACGGGUGAGGAAUACAUCGGAAUCUACUUUUUCGUGGGGGAUAACGUAGGGAAACUUACGCUAAUACCGCAUACGACCUACGGGUGAAAGCAGGGGAUCUUCGGACCUUGCGCGAUUGAAUGAGCCGAUGUCGGAUUAGCUAGUUGGCGGGGUAAAGGCCCACCAAGGCGACGAUCCGUAGCUGGUCUGAGGGGAUGGUCCGCCACACUGGAACUGAGACACAGUCCAGACUCCUACGGGAGGCAGCAGUGGGGAAUAUUGGACAAUGGGCGCAAGCCUGAUCCAGCCAUACCGCGUGGGUGAAGAAGGCCUUCGGGUUGUAAAGCCCUUUUGUUGGGAAAGAAAAGCAGCAGGUUAAUACCCCGCUGUUCUGACGGUACCCAAAGAAUAAGCACCGGCUAACUUCGUG
Molecule: ribosomal RNA, 492 nt
Filed under: uncultured bacterium
Lineage: Bacteria
Description: partial 16S ribosomal RNA
Rfam family: Bacterial small subunit ribosomal RNA
Source: RNAcentral